UGUUUCGGCUAGGGGGCCAUCCCGGCUUACCAACCCGAUGCAAACUGCGAAUACCGGAGAAUGUUAUCACGGGAGACACACGGCGGGUGCUAACGUCCGUCGUGAAGAGGGAAACAACCCAGACCGCCAGCUAAGGUCCCAAAGUCAUGGUUAAGUGGGAAACGAUGUGGGAAGGCCCAGACAGCCAGGAUGUUGGCUUAGAAGCAGCCAUCAUUUAAAGAAAGCGUAAUAGCUCACUGGUCGAGUCGGCCUGCGCGGAAGAUGUAACGGGGCUAAACCAUGCACCGAAGCUGCGGCAGCGACACUAUGUGUUGUUGGGUAGGGGAGCGUUCUGUAAGCCUGCGAAGGUGGCCUGUGAGGGUUGCUGGAGGUAUCAGAAGUGCGAAUGCUGACAUAAGUAACGAUAAAGCGGGUGAAAAGCCCGCUCGCCGGAAGACCAAGGGUUCCUGUCCAACGUUAAUCGGGGCAGGGUGAGUCGACCCCUAAGGCGAGGCCGAAAGGCGUAGUCGAUGGGAAACGGGUUAAUAUUCCCGUACUUGGUGUUACUGCGAAGGGGGGACGGAGAAGGCUAUGUUGGCCGGGCGACGGUU
Molecule: ribosomal RNA, 590 nt
Filed under: Salmonella enterica subsp. salamae
Lineage: Bacteria; Pseudomonadati; Pseudomonadota; Gammaproteobacteria; Enterobacterales; Enterobacteriaceae
Description: partial 23S ribosomal RNA
Rfam family: Bacterial large subunit ribosomal RNA
Source: RNAcentral